This 446-nucleotide ribosomal RNA is filed under the name uncultured bacterium. RNAcentral describes it as "partial 16S ribosomal RNA". It matches the Rfam family "Bacterial small subunit ribosomal RNA", at positions 338 to 795 of the family's 1533-position model. The record is from RNAcentral.
CCUACGGGCGGCAGCAGUCGAGAAUCAUUCACAAUGGGGGAAACCCUGAUGGUGCGACGCCGCGUGGGGGAAUGAAGGUCUUCGGAUUGUAAACCCCUGUCAUGUGGGAGCAAAUUAAAAAGAUAGUACCACAAGAGGAAGAGACGGCUAACUCUGUGCCAGCAGCCGCGGUAAUACAGAGGGCUCAAGCGUUGUUCGGAAGCACUGGGCGUAAAGCGUGCGGAGGCGGUUUCGUAGGUCGUGUGUGAAAGGCGCGGGCUCAACCCGCGGACGGCACAUGAUACUGCGUGACUAGAGUGAUGGAGGGGGAACCGGAAUUCUCGGUGUAGCAGUGAAAUGCGUAGAUAUCGAGAGGAACACUCGUGGCGAAGGCGGGUUCCUGGACAUUAACUGACGCUGAGGCACGAAGGCCAGGGGAGCGAAAGGGAUUAGAUACCCUUGUAGUC